UACAGAGGUCUCAAGCGUUGUUCGGAUUCAUCGGGCGUAAAGGGUGCGUAGGCGGCGCGGUAAGUCGGGUGUGAAAUCUCGGAGCUUAACUCCGAAACUGCAUUCGAUACUGCCGUGCUUGAGGACUGGAGAGGAGACUGGAAUUUACGGUGUAGCGGUGAAAUGCGUAGAUAUCGUAAGGAAGACCAGUGGCGAAGGCGGGUCUCUGGGCCGAUACUGACGCUGAGGAGCGAAAGCGUGGGGAGCGAACAGG
RNAcentral lists this ribosomal RNA (253 nucleotides) under uncultured bacterium. Its description in RNAcentral is "partial 16S ribosomal RNA". It matches the Rfam family "Bacterial small subunit ribosomal RNA", at positions 524 to 776 of the family's 1533-position model. The record is from RNAcentral.